UACGGAGGGGGCUAGCGUUGUUCGGAAUUACUGGGCGUAAAGGGCGCGUAGGCAGUUCGGUAAGUUAGGCGUGAAAGGCCCGGGCUCAACCCGGGAACUGCGCUUAAGACUGCCGGGCUGUGAGUCCGGGAGAGGAUGGCGGAAUUCCCAGUGUAGAGGUGAAAUUCGUAGAUAUUGGGAAGAACACCAGUGGCGAAGGCGGCCAUCUGGCCCGGUACUGACGCUGAGGCGCGAAAGCGUGGGGAGCAAACAGG
Molecule: ribosomal RNA, 254 nt
Filed under: uncultured bacterium
Lineage: Bacteria
Description: partial 16S ribosomal RNA
Rfam family: Bacterial small subunit ribosomal RNA
Source: RNAcentral